UACGAACCGGACGAACGGUAUUCGGAAUCAUUGGGCUUAAAGAGUGCGUAGGCGGCCUUGUAGGUGAGGUGUGAAAUCCCACGGCUCAACCGUGGAACUGCGCUUCAAACCACAAGGCUUGAGUGAGGCAGAGGUAAGCGGAACUGAUGGUGGAGCGGUGAAAUGCGUUGAUAUCAUCAGGAACACCGGUGGCGAAGGCGGCUUACUGGGCCUUGUCUGACGCUGAGGCACGAAAGCUAGGGGAGCAAACGGG
RNAcentral lists this ribosomal RNA (253 nucleotides) under uncultured bacterium. RNAcentral describes it as "partial 16S ribosomal RNA". It matches the Rfam family "Bacterial small subunit ribosomal RNA", at positions 524 to 776 of the family's 1533-position model. The record is from RNAcentral.